GUAGGUGAACCUGCGGAAGGAUCAUUAACACUCCAAAACACUCAUUACUCUUGGCAACAAGGGUAUAUGAAACCCUAUUCACAAGCGAACUAUACAAAAGAUACCAAGCCGCACUAAGAGGGCUCGAGGUUCCUAGAACCGCUUGUUCUUUUUUGCACUUGGUCCUUUUGGUCUUUUGUCCUUUUUUCUAUUCUUUAGCCCCAAACAUUUUAUUUAUUGUCUGACUGAGACGCAAGUCUCGUUGUUCUUC
RNAcentral lists this unclassified non-coding RNA (250 nucleotides) under plant metagenome. RNAcentral's name for it is "partial contains small subunit ribosomal RNA, internal transcribed spacer 1, and 5.8S ribosomal RNA". The record is from RNAcentral.